Molecule: long non-coding RNA, 559 nt
Filed under: Mustela putorius furo (domestic ferret)
Lineage: Eukaryota; Metazoa; Chordata; Mammalia; Carnivora; Mustelidae
Description: lncRNA (ENSMPUG00000026901.1)
Source: RNAcentral
AUAGGGAUUGUAUUGGUCUGUAGAUUGUUUUGGAUAAUAUGGACAUUUUUUUUAAAAACUAGAUUCCACACCCAGUGUGUAGCCUAGUGUGGGGCUUGAACUCAUGACCCUGAGAUCCACACCUGAGCUGAGAUCAAGAGCCAGACUCUUAAACCGACUGAGCCACCCAAGCACCCAGGGUGUUUUCAAGUUCAAUCACUGCGUCACUCAAGGGCACGUGCCGCUGAGAAGACCACCUUCGGGUUUUGUUCCAAGUACUUUCCAUGGAUCAGCUCUUCUGGGCCCACAACCAUCCCAUGAGGUAAGCAGAAUUAUUAUGUCCAUUUUCCUGCUCAGAGAGGUUAAAGGACUGUCUCAAGGCUGCAAAGCUGGUAAUAGGCAAAACCAGAAUUUGAACUCAGGAAGUGUGGCUCCAGAUCCCAGGCUCCUGAGAGCUACCCUGUACAGUGUUUCAGCGGAAGCAGAGCUGGGGCUCAUUGGCUCAACUGUUGAAGGAAGGGCCAGCGCUACUGAGCGCAUGUACCUAAGCAGGAAGCCGUCUGUCCUCAGGUACAGCUAG